This 497-nucleotide ribosomal RNA is filed under the name uncultured bacterium. Its description in RNAcentral is "partial 16S ribosomal RNA". It matches the Rfam family "Bacterial small subunit ribosomal RNA", at positions 28 to 507 of the family's 1533-position model. The record is from RNAcentral.
GACGAACGCUGGCGGCGUGCCUAAUACAUGCAAGUUGAGCGCUGAAGGUUGGUACUUGUACCAACUGGAUGAGCAGCGCACGGGUGAGUAACGCGUGGGGAAUCUGCCUUUGAGCGGGGGACAACAUUUGGAAACGAAUGCUAAUACCGCAUAAAAACUUUAAACACAAGUUUUAAGUUUGAAAGAUGCAAUUGCAUCACUCAAAGAUGAUCCCGCGUUGUAUUAGCUAGUUGGUGAGGUAAAGGCUCACCAAGGCGAUGAUACAUAGCCGACCUGAGAGGGUGAUCGGCCACAUUGGGACUGAGACACGGCCCAAACGCCUACGGGAGGCAGCAGUAGGGAAUCUUCGGCAAUGGACGAAAGUCUGACCGAGCAACGCCGCGUGAGGGAAGAAGGUUGUCGGAUCGUAAAACUCGGUUGGUAGAGAAGAACGUUGGUGAGAGUGGAAAGCUCAUCAAGUGACGGUAACUACCCAGAAAGGGACGGCUAACUACGUG